GGGUGUGUGACGCAAUGGACAACGCAUCUGACUACGGAUCAGAAGAUUCCGGGUUCGAAUCCCGGUGCACCCC
Molecule: transfer RNA, 73 nt
Filed under: Hydatigera taeniaeformis
Lineage: Eukaryota; Metazoa; Platyhelminthes; Cestoda; Cyclophyllidea; Taeniidae
Description: Taenia taeniaeformis tRNA
Rfam family: tRNA
About the family: Transfer RNA (tRNA) molecules are approximately 80 nucleotides in length. Their secondary structure includes four short double-helical elements and three loops (D, anti-codon, and T loops).
Source: Rfam by way of RNAcentral